UGAGUACGAGACGCUAAGGCGUCGAAGUAGUGGAUGUCAUACUUCCAAGAAAAGCUUGCACUGUCAUAAAUAAAAGACGCCUGUACCAUAACCGACACAGGUGGGUAGGUAGAGUAUACUAAGGGGCGCGAGAUAACUCUCUCUAAGGAACUCGGCAAAAUAACUCCGUAACUUCGGGAGAAGGAGUGCCUUAUUCGUAAGGCUGCAAUAACAAGAUCCAAGCAACUGUUUAUCAAAAACACAGGUCUCCGCUAAGUCGUAAGACGAUGUAUGGGGGCUGACGCCUGCCCAGUGCCAGAAGGUUAAAGAAGUCGGUUAGCAUUAGCGAAGCUGGUAACUGAAGCCCUGGUGAACGGCGGCCGUAACUAUAACGGUCCUAAGGUAGCGAAAUUCCUUGUCGGGUAAGUUCCGACCCGCACGAAAGGCGUAAUGAUUUGGAUACUGUCUCGGAGAGGGGCUCGGUGAAAUAGACUUGUCUGUGAAGAUGCGGACUACCUGCACCAGGACAGAAAGACCCUAUGAAGCUUUACUGUAACUUGAAAUUGAAAUUGGACUUUAUUCGCGCAGUAUAGGUGGGAGGUGUUGAUUAUAAUCUUGCGGGAUUAUUGGAGCCAUCAGUGAGAUACCACUCUUGUAAUGUUAGAUUUCUAACUUUGAAUCAUUAUCUGGUCAAAGAACAGUUUCAGGCGGGCAGUUUGACUGGGGCGGUCGCCUCCUAAAUGGUAACGGAGGCGUACAAAGGUUUCCUCUGAACGGGUAGAAAUCGUAUCUAGAGUGUAAAGGCAUAAGGAAGCUUGACUGUGAGACCUACAAGUCGAGCAGGGACGAAAGUCGGUCUUAGUGAUCUGACGGUACUGAGUGGAAAGGCCGUCACUCAACGGAUAAAAGUUACUCUAGGAUAACAGGCUGAUCUCCCCCAAGAGUUCACAUCGACGGGGAGGUUUGGCACCUCGAUGUCGGCUCAUCGCAUCCUGGGGCGGUAGUAGGUCCCAAGGGUUGGGCUGUUCGCCCAUGAAAGCGGUACGCGAGCUGGGUUCAGAACGUCGUGAGACAGUUCGGUCCAUAUCCGGUGUAGGCGUUAGAAUAUUGAGAGGAGCCUUCUUUAGUACGAGAGGACCGAGAAGGACAUACCUCUGGUGUACCAGUUAUCGUGCCAACGGUAAACGCUGGGUAGCUAUGUAUGGAGUGGAUAACCGCUGAAAGCAUCUAAGUGGGAAGCCCACCUCAAGAUAAGUAUUCUCAUC
Molecule: ribosomal RNA, 1244 nt
Filed under: metagenome
Description: bacterial LSU rRNA
Rfam family: Bacterial large subunit ribosomal RNA
Source: RNAcentral